Molecule: ribosomal RNA, 608 nt
Filed under: Clostridium estertheticum
Lineage: Bacteria; Bacillati; Bacillota; Clostridia; Eubacteriales; Clostridiaceae
Description: bacterial SSU rRNA
Rfam family: Bacterial small subunit ribosomal RNA
Source: RNAcentral
GGGGAAUAGCCUUCGAAAAGGAAAAUUACUACCGCAGAUUAUGUUUUGUUCUUGUGACUUCAACAUCUGUUGUUUUUCUUUUUUUCUUUGGGAUGGACCCGGGGUGCAUUAGCUUGUUGGGGAUGGAGCGGCCCCGGCCCGCAACGGUGCCUAACCGAACUGGAAGGGUGAUCGGGCUCGUUGUAAUUGAAACUCGGUCCAGACUCCUACUGCAGGCAGCGGUGGGGAAGAUUGCUCAUGGGCAGAAACCCUGACCCAGCAACGCCGCCUGAAUGAGGAAGGCCUUCGGCUUGUAAAGGUCUGUCUUCGGCGACGAUAAUGACGGUGCCAGAGCAGGAAGCCACGGCUACCUACAUGCCCGCGCCCGCGGUAAUACGAAGGUGGAAGUGGUUGGCCUUAUUUACUGUGCGUGGAGGAUGCGUAUGCGGACAUUUACGUCUAAUGUGAAAUACCCGAGCUUAACUUGCUUGCUGCUUUUGAAUCUGGCUGUCUAGAUCGAAAGAGAAGUAAAUGUAAUUGCUAUUGCAACGGUGACAUGCAUAUACAUAAAGAAUACCACCACUGGCGAUGGCGACUGACUGGAAUGUGACUGACACUGACGCAUGAGC